This 497-nucleotide ribosomal RNA is filed under the name uncultured bacterium. RNAcentral describes it as "partial 16S ribosomal RNA". It matches the Rfam family "Bacterial small subunit ribosomal RNA", at positions 28 to 507 of the family's 1533-position model. The record is from RNAcentral.
GAUGAACGCUGGCGGCGUGCCUAAUACAUGCAAGUCGAGCGAACAGACGAGGAGCUUGCUCCUCUGACGUUAGCGGCGGACGGGUGAGUAACACGUGGAUAACCUACCUAUAAGACUGGGAUAACUUCGGGAAACCGGAGCUAAUACCGGAUAAUAUAUUGAACCGCAUGGUUCAAUAGUGAAAGACGGUUUUGCUGUCACUUAUAGAUGGAUCCGCGCCACAUUAGCUAGUUGGUAAGGUAACGGCUUACCAAGGCAACGAUGCGUAGCCGAACUGAGGGGGGGAUCGGCCACACUGGAACUGAGACACGGUCCAGACGCCUACGGGAGGCAGCAGUAGGGAAUCGUACGCAAUGGGCGAAAGCUUGGCGGAGCAACGCCACGUGAGUGAUGAAGGUGUUCGGAGCGUAAAACUCUGUUAUGAGGGAAGAACAAAUGUGUAAGUAACUAUGCACGUCGUGACGGUACCUAAUCAGAAAGCAACGGCUAACUACGUG